This 409-nucleotide ribosomal RNA is filed under the name bacterium. RNAcentral describes it as "partial 16S ribosomal RNA". It matches the Rfam family "Bacterial small subunit ribosomal RNA", at positions 355 to 776 of the family's 1533-position model. The record is from RNAcentral.
UGGGGAAUAUUGCACAAUGGGCGAAAGCCUGAUGCAGCGACGCCGCGUGAGGGAUGACGGCCUUCGGGUUGUAAACCUCUUUCAGUAGGGACGAAGCGCAAGUGACGGUACCUGCAGAAGAAGCACCGGCUAACUACGUGCCAGCAGCCGCGGUAAUACGUAGGGUGCGAGCGUUGUCCGGAAUUACUGGGCGUAAAGAGCUCGUAGGCGGUUUGUCACGUCGUCUGUGAAAUCCUAGGGCUUAACCCUGGACGUGCAGGCGAUACGGGCUGACUUGAGUACUACAGGGGAGACUGGAAGUGCUGGUGUAGCGGUGGAAUGCACAGAUAUCAGGAAGAACACCGAUGGCGAAGGCAGGUCUCUGGGUAGUAACUGACGCUGAGGAGCAAAAGCAUAGGUAGCGAACAGG